CAGUAUGUAGUUUAAAUCAAAUAUUAAUUUUGGAGAUUAAAGAUGAAAGAUAAUUCCUUACUGA
Molecule: transfer RNA, 64 nt
Filed under: unidentified
Description: Ischnodemus noctulus tRNA-Pro
Source: RNAcentral